RNAcentral lists this ribosomal RNA (986 nucleotides) under Escherichia coli. Its description in RNAcentral is "partial 23S ribosomal RNA". It matches the Rfam family "Bacterial large subunit ribosomal RNA", at positions 164 to 1191 of the family's 2925-position model. Lineage: Bacteria; Pseudomonadati; Pseudomonadota; Gammaproteobacteria; Enterobacterales; Enterobacteriaceae. The record is from RNAcentral.
CCAUAGGUUAAUGAGGCGAACCGGGGGAACUGAAACAUCUAAGUACCCCGAGGAAAAGAAAUCAACCGAGAUUCCCCCAGUAGCGGCGAGCGAACGGGGAGGAGCCCAGAGCCUGAAUCAGUGUGUGUGUUAGUGGAAGCGUCUGGAAAGGCGCGCGAUACAGGGUGACAGCCCCGUACACAAAAAUGCACAUGCUGUGAGCUCGAUGAGUAGGGCGGGACACGUGGUAUCCUGUCUGAAUAUGGGGGGACCAUCCUCCAAGGCUAAAUACUCCUGACUGACCGAUAGUGAACCAGUACCGUGAGGGAAAGGCGAAAAGAACCCCGGCGAGGGGAGUGAAAAAGAACCUGAAACCGUGUACGUACAAGCAGUGGGAGCCUCUUUAUGGGGUGACUGCGUACCUUUUGUAUAAUGGGUCAGCGACUUAUAUUCUGUAGCAAGGUUAACCGAAUAGGGGAGCCGAAGGGAAACCGAGUCUUAACUGGGCGUUAAGUUGCAGGGUAUAGACCCGAAACCCGGUGAUCUAGCCAUGGGCAGGUUGAAGGUUGGGUAACACUAACUGGAGGACCGAACCGACUAAUGUUGAAAAAUUAGCGGAUGACUUGUGGCUGGGGGUGAAAGGCCAAUCAAACCGGGAGAUAGCUGGUUCUCCCCGAAAGCUAUUUAGGUAGCGCCUCGUGAAUUCAUCUCCGGGGGUAGAGCACUGUUUCGGCAAGGGGGUCAUCCCGACUUACCAACCCGAUGCAAACUGCGAAUACCGGAGAAUGUUAUCACGGGAGACACACGGCGGGUGCUAACGUCCGUCGUGAAGAGGGAAACAACCCAGACCGCCAGCUAAGGUCCCAAAGUCAUGGUUAAGUGGGAAACGAUGUGGGAAGGCCCAGACAGCCAGGAUGUUGGCUUAGAAGCAGCCAUCAUUUAAAGAAAGCGUAAUAGCUCACUGGUCGAGUCGGCCUGCGCGGAAGAUGUAACGGGGCUAAACCAUG